UUAAAAACAAAACACUUUGGGACAAAAAUCAGAAGAGCUUACCUUGAAUUAUGAAAGCUGCAAAAUGUUGAGCAUGAGUGUACAUGAUUAGAUUAGAAGAAAUUACUCAUGCAGCCUUUAUUAUAAUGGUCAAAUUGCUCCCAGAGUAAAAAUUACAGUGCAUCCCUCCUUGCCCUGCAAUGGCUCCGUGUACAGAAAACACUAGUUGAUGAGAAGAUAUAACCUCAGCCUAGGGAAUUCACAUGGUGAGGUCCAACCUGAAAAUUGGGCAUCUCUAUUAUUUUGGAGGAUGAGACCCAUCAGAUGGACUCUAGCACCACAAACCGUCUUUCCCACAGUAAACCUGCAAUGAGGCAGAAGUGUUAUCUGAGUAAAAGCUGGACCAUGCAUUACUUUUAUAUCUCAUAGAAGCUGUGGUGCUUGUGGUGUCUGUGGUGAUUACUAUGUCUUGACAUGAUGUGAACCCAAAUACAGACUAAAUAAUCUCAUCUGAAGUCUGACGCUCCUCUGAUGGAACGAGCAGCACAGAAGAGUCUGCUGCUGCCUGGUCCUCAUCCCAAGACCUGCAGGCCCCCUGGCAGCUGUCUGCUGCCCUGCAGCAAGCCCCUGCCUGGGAAGAAGUCCUCCAUUACCUCCUGCUGCCAGGAGCCCCUGGCCCAGCCCCCACCCUGGGUCUGCUGCCACCAACCUGGGCCCAGGCCACUCGCCCCUGCUCCACAUGUGGAACUGGAACUGCCUGGAGAGGCACCAGGACUGGACAUCGGCCAUGCUGGGCCUCAACGCUGCCAGCCAGAGGGGAAGCUGCUCACCCUGGAGGAUCACUGGGUGCUGUUGCCCUGCUGGGCAAGCCCCCAGCCCACUGCAGUUGCUGCAGCAUGAGGACCCAUCAGGGAAUAGCCAGAGGCUGGGGUGCUGGCCACCUGUCCCUGGCCUCUGCCCCCUAGGUGCCUUUAUCCCAAGGCUGCCCACUCUGGGACUCCAGAAAAAAUCCACCUUGUACAUAGUUUCCACAGGGAAGAGUGUUUCUUAUGGUUGGGGGGUACGCUGGAUGGUGGAAGGGCUCUGUGUGUUGAGGAGGGAGGAUUUCUGUUGGAUGUGGGGAAAAUAAAGACUUUUUCUUCUGA
Alligator mississippiensis (American alligator) is the source of this 1124-nucleotide long non-coding RNA. RefSeq lists it as uncharacterized. The transcript has 3 exons. The record is from RefSeq and is a predicted model, not a curated record. NCBI's taxonomy places the organism in Eukaryota, Metazoa, Chordata, Crocodylia, Alligatoridae.